GGGGAUAUAUCUCAGUUGGUAGAGUUCUUGCCUCACAUGCACAAGGUCCUGGCUUUAAUUCCCAGCAUCACCA
Non-coding RNA from Ictidomys tridecemlineatus (thirteen-lined ground squirrel), 73 nucleotides. The record is from Rfam. Lineage: Eukaryota; Metazoa; Chordata; Mammalia; Rodentia; Sciuridae.